This 1277-nucleotide ribosomal RNA is filed under the name metagenome. RNAcentral's name for it is "bacterial SSU rRNA". It matches the Rfam family "Eukaryotic small subunit ribosomal RNA", at positions 3 to 864 of the family's 1831-position model. The record is from RNAcentral.
CCUGGUUGAUCCUGCCAGUAGUCAUAUGCUUGUCUCAAAGAUUAAGCCAUGCAUGUCUAAGUAUGAACUGGUUCAUAUGGUGAAACUGCGAAUGGCUCAUUAAAUCAGCAAUAGUUUAUUUGAUUGUGCGCUGAUUGCUACUUGGAUAACCGUAGUAAUUCUAGAGCUAAUACAUGUUUCAAACGACCGACUUCCGUCCUGUUGAAAGGGUCAAACUGAUUGACAGAAACGUUCUGUGGAAGGUCUGCAUUUAUUAGAUACGAAAAAACCAAUACGUCAAUGAGGGCAACUUUGUUGAUGGUAAAAAUAAAAACAUUCUUGACACGAAUGAAUAAAAUUGGUGAUUCAUGAUAACUGCGCGAAUCGCAUGGUCUCGCACCAGCGAUGGAUCAUUCAAAUUUCUGCCCUAUCAACUUUCGAAGGUAGGAUAGAGGCCUACCUUUGUUGUCACGGGUACGGGGAAUUAGGGUUCGGUUCCGGAGAGGGGGCAUGAGAAUUGGCCACCACUUCCAAGGAAGGCAGCAGGCGCGAAAAUUACUCAAUCCUGACACAGGGAAGUAGUGACAAAAAAUAACAAUGCAAUGCCUUGAACAAAGGCUUGCAAUUGGAAUGAGAGCAAUUUAAAUCCCUUCUCAAGGAACAAUUGGAGGGCAAGUCUGGUGCCAGCAGCCGCGGUAAUUCCAGCUCCAAUAGUGUAUUUUAAAGUUGUUGCAGUUAAAAAGCUCGUAGUUGGAUUUCAGAGCAGUUUCAAAAGAAUUUCCGGUCUGCUGUGUCAAUUUGUGAUGCAGUGUGUACUGGUCUUUCUGCUCUUUUUCUUGGUGAUCCUUACAACGCGGUCAUCAUUGCCGAAGGGUUUUGAGUUGCUUUUGUGACUCGAUCUGAGGAGGUGGUGAUUUAGCUUGUAUGUUCGAUUGUCAAGAAGUCCUGACAAGACGUUCGCUUGUUCUCUUCAUUGAGAGCGAGUCAUUCUCUCGCACAGUGUUGUUCUUCGGGAUGAUGCAGUGGGGGAGUUUUGUUGGUUCAUCACAGUGUUUGCAAUCGAGAGCGCAGCAAUGCGUGAUUGGUUGUGAUGGUGGUGCGGUCAGCAGAACUCUUGUCCUUUUACCUUGAAUAAAUUAGAGUGUUCAAAGCAGGCUGUGGCGAAAGUCAACACGCCUUGAAUAUGUUAGCAUGGGAUAAUGGAAUAGGACUUUGGUCUUUGCAAGUGUCAGGAAGGGGGUGUUGCAGCAAUGUGAUGUCCUUCCCUGCCUUUUUCGUUGGUUUUCAGAAGAUCAAAG